UAUUGACCGAAAUCGCUAUGUAACAUAUUAGCUACCUAGCGUACCAAAAAGUGCAUCGUUAGCAAACAUUACAGUAGAACUGAACACAUGGUUCCCCUGCAAUGUAAUAUUUGCCUGCUAGUCAAGUUAGCCAGGCAGAAACAGGAAAGCACCAUACGUAGCUAGCUAACUACACUAUCUAGCUACACUUGUCCUUGCGGAAACCUUGUUGUUCAUAUUUUCACAACAUGUUCAAGGCAGCACUGCAAACGUUGACCUUGUGCAGUAGUUAUCUAGCUAAAUGAAAUAACUGGGCUGGCUAGUAAGAUGGAUAACAAGCAGCUCUUCCAAGUCAGCUAGGAUUGCGAUGUUUCUGCUAGCUAUCUAAAGCUGAAGUCAUUCGAGUUUUAUUUUCCUGACAUUGUCAUAGAUUUUAAUACAACUCCUCUUCUUUAGAGUAUAGGUAUUCAGACCUUCCUGGGUAAUGGACAGACCAUCUUUUCCAGAAUACAUUGGCAUGGGAUCCGGCGGUCCUUUCUUUGAAGGACUUCAAUGAAAGAUGGCCAACCCUGUUUGAACCCACUCGGGUACAAAAUACAGCCGAAGGAAAAUAGUCAAUAUUAAGGACGAGUUCAGAAGAAUUACAACUGUUUCUCUUGAGUCCACCUUUAUGCAGAAGCUGGACGAAUAUACACCAACAUGUUUUGACUUGUUUAAGUCAAAAGGAGGUGCUAUAAAGGCGGUUUGUAACAGUAUAGACUGAUGAUAAAUGAUAACAUUUAUUUUAUUAAAAUAAAGAUGUGGAAGUUUGAAGUUGAA
Long non-coding RNA from Oncorhynchus tshawytscha (Chinook salmon), 798 nucleotides. NCBI's taxonomy places the organism in Eukaryota, Metazoa, Chordata, Actinopteri, Salmoniformes, Salmonidae. The record is from Ensembl.